ACCUACGGGGGGCAGCAGUAGGGAAUCUACCACAAUGGGCGAAAGCCUGAUGGAGCAACGCCGCGUGGGUGAAGAAGGUCUUCGGAUCGUAAAACCCUGUUGUUAGAGAAGAAAGUGCGUGAGAGUAACUGUUCACGUUUCGACGGUAUCUAACCAGAAAGCCACGGCUAACUACGUGCCAGCAGCCGCGGUAAUACGUAGGUGGCAAGCGUUAUCCGGAUUUAUUGGGCGUAAAGGGAACGCAGGCGGUCUUUUAAGUCUGAUGUGAAAGCCUUCGGCUUAACCGGAGUAGUGCAUUGGAAACU
This 305-nucleotide ribosomal RNA is filed under the name uncultured bacterium. Its description in RNAcentral is "bacterial SSU rRNA". It matches the Rfam family "Bacterial small subunit ribosomal RNA", at positions 337 to 634 of the family's 1533-position model. The record is from RNAcentral.